RNAcentral lists this ribosomal RNA (388 nucleotides) under uncultured bacterium. RNAcentral describes it as "bacterial SSU rRNA". It matches the Rfam family "Bacterial small subunit ribosomal RNA", at positions 29 to 398 of the family's 1533-position model. The record is from RNAcentral.
AGUGAACGCUGGCGGCGUGCUUAACACAUGCAAGUCGAACGCGAAAGUGUAGCAAUACAUGAGUAGAGUGGCGAACGGGUGAGUAAAAUGUGGGUAAUCUAGCUUUCAGAGGGGGAUAACCCGGGGAAACCUGGGCUAAAACCGCGUAACAUAUUGGGGUUUAAGGACCCUAAUAUCAAAACAUGGCCUCUAUUUAUAAGCUAUGGCUGAGAGAUGAGCCCACAUCCUAUCACGCUUGUUGGUGGGGUAACGGCCCACCAAGGCGACGACGGGUAGCUGGUCUGAGAGGACGAUCAGCCACACUGGCACUGCGACACGGGCCAGACUCCUACGGGAGGCAGCAGUAAGGAAUAUUGCGCAAUGGGCGAAAGCCUGACGCAGCGACGCC